Molecule: long non-coding RNA, 661 nt
Organism: Amaranthus tricolor (Joseph's coat)
Lineage: Eukaryota; Viridiplantae; Streptophyta; Magnoliopsida; Caryophyllales; Amaranthaceae
Exons: 2
Source: RefSeq, a predicted model, not a curated record
AAGCCAAUCACACUACCCAAAACCCCUUUUGUUCUACCCAAAGCUUGUGCAUCAUUACAAGCAUGCAAGAGGCAAAUAUUUGAAGCAAAAGCACUCAAUUUUCUGAAUUGUUAUUCAGCCAUAAAUCCCAACACAUUGCUCCCAAGUUCAUCCAUGAACAAACACUAGAAUCCUCUAAACUUUCAAUAACUAAAACACCUUCUUUUCUCAUUAAAUCUUCUUCAAAAACCCAUCUAAAACUUCUGAAAAUUUAUGUUUAUAAACUCAAAUCUCCCAUAAAAAUAAUCUUCAUCUUAAGAGCUUUCCAUAGACACCAAACUUGAAGAAAUCCACCAAGUAUAGAUUGAAGAGUUGGAGUUGAGGCUUGAAGGGCAAGGAACUGAAGUUAGAACCACUUCUAAAAACGCGUAGGAGCUUACGGAAUAAUUAUAUAGGCUUGGAGUCGAGAGUAAACCCCUAUGGCACCUCGACGGAGAAUGGAUAUGCGAGCGGAAGUUGAACCCGAGUUGGAGUAUGACUCCCCUUUUGUUUAGAUCUCUUUAUUGUAUUUGAGAGACUAUUAGUUUAGAUUUAGACUAUUUUAAGGAUGUAAUUUGAACUUUGGACUUAUUUCGAUUUGGUUGUAAUUUUCCUAUAUUUUAGACAGUUAAGACUUCCGUUA